AUGUGGAGAAGUCGGGCUGCUGUAUCUAAAGGACUGACUCUCACCCCUAAUUUCUGUCAUCUUUGGUACAGAAAGGUAUUCUGCAAGCUACACAAACAAACAAAUGCAACCAUAAAUCCUUGGAUUGACAAUGGUGUCCUGCCUGCAAGACAUGCUAAUUCAAAGUGUCACAACAUUGCUGGAGUAACCAACCGAUUUCUGAUUUGACUGAAGGCCUACUCCAUGAGCUAUUCCGGACACUGUUUGGUGCCCAAAACCCUGAGACUAAAUAGCCCAGGGUUCUAAGGUAAAAUAAGACUGGUCUUAAAAAGAAAGCUAGGAAUAAAAUGACUCCUAAUGACAUUCUGUGCUCAUAGGUCAGUGCCCUGCUCAGACAUCAUCAGAGAAGCUUCCUCCUGCAGCAGACGGGAACAAAUACAGGAUCUACAGCCAGACAUUACACAGAAGCCUUGGAACAUGCAGCCCUAAAUGGGAUGUCUCCAUUAAAUCCCUGCCCUCAGGGCUCAGGGAACCUUGCAGAAGAGGAGGUGGAACGAGUGAAAGAACCAGAAAGGAUGGAGGACUACAAGAGAACAAGAGCAAAGCCCACCAUGAGAAGGGAGAGGAGCAGCCAGACUGCAUGGUCCUUCUGCUCGGUGGAAGAACAAGCCUUUGACCAUCUGGGUUGCUCUACUGCUGUCUUAUGAGUAAAAAAUUUAAUUUGAAGAUGGAAAUUCCUGCCCUCCAUCCCAAACUCUGACUUUCAGAAUAAGUUCUAUAAAUACAUCUAAUAAAACCAGGAACUACAAUGAAGGCCUCACUUCAUACCUUAGAAAAGCCUGGAUCUUUUAAUCCUUCUGCCUCUGCCUCUCAAGUCAAGGACUAUAGAUUUGUGUUACCAUAACCAAAUCUAAACUGGCAAAUUAAUGUUCGGCAUAGCAAAAAGCCUUUCUCUGAAUGGUACUGCUAAGAGAGUGAAGAGACAAACUGCCAACACUGGGAGAAAUACUUGCAAAUUAUGAAUAUGAAAAAGGAUGUACAUCUGAAAACGAAUAAAUCUCAGUGCUCAACAACACAGGGCCAGGUGUGGAGGUGCACAGCUUCCAGCACUUGGGGGCUGGAGGGCAGAAUGCCUGAGUUCAAGGCCAUCCAGGGCUACACAGAGACCCGUCUCACAAACCAAAACAAUCAAAGCUCAACAACAAGAAAACAAACAACUUGACCCAAGACAAGAAAUUGAUGGCUACUAGGCAGAUGAAAAGAUGCCUAACACAGAAAGCCUUAAGACACAUUGGAGAAAUACAAAAUAAAACCAGAGCACAAUGCUGGUGCCAAGCUAAUAGAAUAGCACACAGUCAUUCAUUGGAAUGCAUCAGAGUCCUAUCACCUUCUAAACCAGACUCCUGAAAACAGCAACAGCAACAACAGCAACAGCACUGAACAUCGAACAUGGAUCUCACCACCUCACUCCUUGGACCUGGCCCAAGAGAGAUGAAAACUAUGUUAUCCUAGAACCUGCACUAGAAGGUUCAUAGAAACUGUUCUCAUUGAUUCCCAAGACUGAAGUAACUCAAGUGUUCUUCAGCACCAAUGGUCAGUGAGUGUGGUGCACCUGUGUGAGGGAAGCACCUGACAUCAGGAGAAGCUGGUAUGUCACACACUGAGAGGCAGAAGACAGUCGGAUAUGCACACACUAAUGUUCACAUGACAGUCUGCAAAAGGGCAAAUUACUCAACAGAGACGGGGAAGAACAGCAGUUGACAGUGGGAGGAGUUAGAACGCAAUGCAGCAACAAGCCACAGCUGUUUUGCAGUGUUCUCAAGAGCAUUCCUGGAGAUUCCUCAGAAAAUUGUUAAUAGAUCUAUCUGAAGACCCGGCUACACCACUCUUGGGCAUAUACCCAAAAGAUGCCCCACCAUGCUACAGGAGCACAUGUUCCACUAUGUUCAUAGUGGCCUUAUCUGUGAUAGCCAGAAGCUGGAAACAACCCAGAUGUCCCAUGACAGAAGAAUGGAUACAGAAAACGUGAUUCAUUUACACAGUGGAAUACUACUCAGCGAUUAAGAAUGAGGACAUCAUGAGUUUUGCAGGCAAAUGGAUGGAACUAGAAAAUAUCAUCCUGAGUGAGGUAACUCAGACCCACAAGGACAUGCAUGGUAUGUACUCACUAAUAAGUGAAUAUUAUCCCCCCCCCAAAAAAAAGGUACAGAAUACCCAGGAUACAGUCCACAGAACUCAAGAAAGUUAACAAGGUAAAGGGUCCAAGUGAGGACACCUCAGUUCCACCUGGGAGGGAGAAGAAAUCAAUCACAGGGCAGAGGGAGGGAGGCAGGUAGGAAGGGGCAUUGAGGGGAAAGGGGGAACAUGAUCAGGUCCUGGGGAGGGGGAGAAAAGGAGUGAAGUCCCGAAGGCCAGCAGAAAGAAUGGAAACAGGCAACCCCAGGAGGUAGGAGGUGUGGAGGGGUACAGAGUGUACCCGAGACCUGGGAGGUGAGAGACUCUCAGGACCCAAAGGGAGGGACCUUAGAUGAAAUACCCAAUAGUGGGGAGAGGGAACUUGUAGAGUUCACCUCCACAGAAAGACAGGGCAUCAAGUAGAGGGAUGGGGCUGCCAUCCUACAGUCAAAAACUCUACCCAGAAUUGUUCCUGUCUAAAAGAACUGCAGGGACAAGAGCCCGAGGAAAGGAGGUCCAGUGACUGGCCCAAAGUGGGAUCCAGUUCAAGGAGAGGAUCCAAGGCCUGACACUAUCACUGAGGCUACUGUAUGCUCACGAAAAGGGGCCUAUCAUGACUGCCCUCCAAUAUAACCAGCAAACAGCUGAAAAAGAGUCAGAUGCAGACACUUGCACCCAAUCAACGAACCCCUAUAGUUAAAUUAGGGAAAGGCUGGAAGAAGCUGAGGAGGAGGGAGAUCCCCAUAGGAAGAUCAGCAGUCUCAACUAACCUGGACCCCUGAGAUCUCUCAGACACUGAGCCACCAACCAGACAGUACACAGUAGCUGGUCGGAGGCCUCCCACACAUAUACAGCAGAGGUCCACCUGGGCUGGCCUCAGUGAGAGAAGAUGCAUCUAGUCCUGGAGAGACUUGAGCCCCCAGGGAGUGGGAAGGUCUAGUGGGGUGGGGGAGCAGUGGGGACAUCCUCUAGGAGACAGGGGAGGAGGAAUAGGAUGAGGAGCUGUCAGAGGGUAGACCAGGAGGGGCUUCCUCAGGUAAAACACUCAUACAUAUAAAAUAAGAUAAAGUAAAAUAAUCUUAAACAAAAGCCUGGAACGGAGAAAUGGCUCAACUGAUAUCUACUGAAGAUCCAAUUUCAGGUCCCAGAAUCCAUGUGGGUGCAUUACAACUGCCUGUAACUCAAGCUCCAAGGGGGUCCAAGACCUCUGGCCUAUUUGGUAUUUAUUCUCAUUGUCUCUCAAAGUUUUUGUCUGUCUGUCUGUCUGUCUGUCUGUCUCUCCACUUAAAAAAAGAAAAGAAAAGCACUCUGAUGGCAAUAAAUCUGUCAUAGAACUUAAGAGAAAAGAACAGGGCCAUAAAGUCGUGGCUCUCCCCUACCUCAGUGACUAUGUUAAAAUGGUCAUUUAUUGGGUGAAUAGGAGUUUAUGACACACAAUAUGUAGAAAGUAAACGAACGGUUCAUUAUUUUUAAAUUAGGCUAAAUUAAAUUGAACAUUAUAAAUCCAAACUAAGAGACCAAAUAUUACUGAUAGAGAGAAUUUAGAAUAGUAACAACAAACUAUUUCUGAGUAAUUAGUAAGUAUCAGUCAGACACCUGCAAACACCCAGCUGCCCUAUCUCAACUGCUCUGUGAAGUAGGACUUAAGGUGUAUUACUGAAAUGGAUUCCUCUUUUCUCCACCCCAUGACUCUCUAUAAUGCAGAAGCACUACAAUGUCAGCGAUUCCUGAAGAUGACACAAUGUAUGCCUACCUGCAUGAGAUCCUGAAGGCUUUCAACAAAAGAAACCUCGGCUUCGACCAUAUAGAAUUCAGCCAGGUGUCUCCGGCUCUGCGAAUUCUCAGCUCGGAACGUUGGGCCGAAGGCAUAAAGCCAUUUGCAGCAAGGCUUAAAAAUUGCUUCUUAGCCUUUUGGUUAUAUCAAGUGUAGCAAAGCUUAAACCAACCAACAUUUAAAAUGAAAACCAAAGAACAAGGACAAUUUCUAAAAUAAGACACAAAACCAGGUGAAAGGCCAGCAUUGCUGUGAGAGGACGCCAGAAGAAAGCACUCAGCUCUAAAAACCCUUUCUGUGCCAAAUUCCGGGGAGAUGAGAGCUAUAUAAGGAAAGUCCUGAGCUUAGAGUAGAUGUUUAAGAUAACAAAAGAACAUUCAAUACCCAUCAAUCAAGAUUGCUACAAAGACAGCUUUUGGGGGUGGGGGUGGGGGUGGGGAGUGAAAUCACAGAGGCAGCUCUACAGAAGACACUUUCUCUUUCCUGUGGAGUUUUCUCAAGUCCUCAAGUUGCUAAAUAGAGUAACUUAAAAUGGUCACUGAAUAUAUGACCAUUUAUUCUUUCUGAAGAACUAGGCUUCAUAGUUAGAAUGAAUACAGGGUAUUUUUGUUCUUUAGCUGGAGAACUGAAUUUAUAUGAGACCAAACAGCAUUUUUUCUAAUCCCCCAACCUCCAUGUUACCCUCCACUGUCCACUUGGUACAAGUCCACUGACAGGAAGUGAAACACAGGCAGCUUUCCAGUGGCCCCUAAAACAGGCACUGCUAAAUGUUUCCUCCACCAUUCAGAGAACCACUGUUAGACUGUCAACCAAAAGUUAUCAAAAGAGAUGAAGAAGGACACUUCAUACUCAAAAGAAAAAUCCUCCACGAGGAAAUCACAAUUCUGAAUAUCUAUGCCCCAAAUGCAAGGGCACCCACCUUUGUGAAAGAAAGCUCAAAACACACACUGAAUCUCACACAUGAAUAGUGAGAAAUCUUAACAGUCCACUCUUGCCAAUAGACAAGUCACUGAGACAGAAACUAAACAGAGAUGCAGGGAAAAUAACAGAAGUCAUGAACCAAACGGAUUUAACAGAUAUUUACGGAACAUUUCACCCCAAAACUAGGGACUAUACCUUCUUCUCGGUACCUCAUGGAACCUUCACCAAACUGACCAUAUAAUUGGUCACAAAACAAGUUUCAACAGAUACAAGAAGAUUGAAAUAAUCCCAUGCAUCAGAUCACCACGGACUGAGGCUGGACUUCAAUAGCAGCAAAAACAACAGAAAGCCACAUACUCAUGGGAACUGCACAACUCUCUGCUCCGUGAUAAAUUGAUCAGGGAAGAAGAAAGAAAGAAAGAAAGGCCUCCUAGAAUUUAAUAAAAAUGAAGACACAGCACACCUAAAUUUAUGGGACACAGUGAAAGCAGUGCUCAGAGGAAAAGUCACAUGAACAUCUCAUUAGAUGCUGAAAAAGCCUUAAGUCUUGGAGAGAUCAGGAAUUCAUGGUGUAUACCUAAGCAUUAUAAAAGCAAUAUAUAGCAAACAAACAGCUAACAUCAAAUUAAAUGGAGAGAAACUAGAAGCAAUCCCACUAAAAUCAGGGACAAAACAAAGCUGCCCACCCUCUCCCUAUCUAUUCAAUAUAGUACUUGAAGUUCUAGCUAGAGCAAUUAGACAAUUAAAGGAGAUCAUGGGGAUACAAAUUGGAAAGGAAGAAGUAUCACUAUUUGUGGAUGAUAUGACAGUAUACAUAAGCGACCCUCAAAAUUUUACCAGAGAACUCCUACACAGCUGAUAAACAACUUCAGAAAAGUGGAGGGAUAUAAAAUUAACUCAAACAAAUCAGUAGCCUUCCUUUAUACAAAUGAUAAAUAAGUUGAGAAAGAAAAUAGGGAAACAACACCCUUCAAAAUAGACACAGAUAAUAUAAAAUAUCUUGGUGUAACUCUUACCAGGCAAGUGAAAGAUCUGUAUGACAAGACUUCAAAUCCCAGAAGAAAGAAAUUUUAGAAGAUAUCAGAAAAUGGAAAGAUCUCCCAUGUUCAUGAAUAGGUAGUGAAUAUGGCCAUCUUACCAAAAGCAAUCUAUAGAUUCGAAGAAAUCCCUAUCAAAAUUCCAGCACAAUUCUUCAGACAUGGAAAGAGCAAUUCUCAACUUCACAUGGAAAAACAAAAAAAAACACAGGAUAGUGAACACAUUUCUCAACAAUAAAAGAACUUCUGGGGGAAUCAUCAACCCUGACCUCAAGCUGUAUUACAGAGCAAUAGUGAUAAAAAAUCGUAUGGUAUUGGUACAGAGACAGUCAGGUUGAUAAAUAGCAUCAAAGACCCAGAAAUAAACUGACACACCUAUGGAAACUUGAUCUUCAGUAAAGAAGCCAAAAACAUACAAUGGACAAAAGCAUCUUCAAUAAAGUGGUGCUGGUCUAACUGGUGGUCAGCAUAUAGAAGAAUGAAAAUAGAUCCACAUUUAUUACCUUGCACAAAGUUCAAGUCCACUUGGAUCAACAUAAAACCAGAUACAAUGAAUCAAAUAGAAGAGAAAGUGGGAAAGAGCCUCAAACUCAUUGGAAUAGGGGAAAAUUUCCUGAGGAGAACACCAAUGGCUCAGGCUCUAAGAUCAACAACUGAUAAACGGGACCUCAAGAAACUAAAAAGCUUCUAUAAGGCAAAGGACACUUCUGUCAAUAGGACAAAUCGUUAAUUACAUCUUGGCUAAUAUCCAAAAUACAUAAAGAACUCAAGAAGUUAACCUCCAAAAAACCAAAUAACCCAAUUAAAAAAUGGGGUUCAGAGGUAAUUCUCAACAGAGGAAUCUUGAAGGGCCAAGAAGCACUGAAAAGAAAUGUUCAACAUCCUUAGUCAUCAGGGAAAUGCAAAUCAAAAUGACCCUGAGAUUCCACUUACACCAAUCAGAAUGGCUAAGAUCAAAAACUCAGGCAACAGCAGAUGCUGGCAAGGAUGAGGAGAAAGGAACAUUCCUCCAUUGUUGGUGGGAUUGACAACUGGUACAACCAGUCUGGAAAUCAGUCUGGCAGUACCUCAGAAAAUUGGAAAUAGUUCUACCUGAAAACCCAGUAAUACCACUCUUGGGCGCAGACCCAAAAGAUGUUCCACCAUGCCACAGGGCACAUGCUCCACAGUGUUCAUAGCAGCCUUAUUUGUAAUUGCCAGAACCUGGAAACAACCAGAUGUCCCUUCACAGAGGAAUGGAUACAGAAAAUGUGGUUCAUUUAUACAAUGGAGUACUACUGCUCAGCUAAUAAAAACAAGGACAUCAUGAAUAUUGCAGGCAAAUGGAUGGAACUAGAAAGUAUCAUCCUGAGUGAGGUAACCCAGACUCAAAAGGACAUGCAUAUGUACUCACUGAUAAGUAGAUAUUAGCCAAAAAGUACAGAAUACCUAGGAUAUAACCCACAGACCAUGAGAAUUUUAACAAGAAGGAAGGCCCAAGUGAGGAUGCCUUAAUUCCACUUAGAAGGGGGAACAAAAUAAUCAUGGGAAGCCGAGGGAGGGAGGGAUCUUGGUGGGAGACAGAAAGCAGAUGGGAUAAGGGGAACAGGAUCAGGUAUGGGGGUGGGGAAGGACAGAAGAGUAGCCCAGAGGGCCAGCAGAAUGAAUGGACAUAUGUAGCUUCUGGGGGGUGGGAGGUCCCAGAAACCUGGAAUGUGAGAGACUCCCAGGUCUCAAUGUGGGUGACCUUAGGCAAAUUGUCCAACAAUGGGGAGAAGGGCCCACCUCCAGUAGAUAGACAGGGCCCAAGUGGAGGGAUGGGGAUACCAAUCCACAGUCAAAACUUCUGACUUGGAAUUGUUCCUGUCUAAAAGAAAUGCAGGGACAAAAAUGGAGAAGAGACUAAAGGAAAGGCAGUCCAGUGAUCGGCCCAACUUGGGAUCUAUCCCAUGGGCAGGUACCAAGGUCUGACAUUAUUACUGAUGCUAUGAUGUGCUCACAGACAGGAAAGAGCCUAGCAUGGCUGUCCUCUGACAGGCCCUACCAGCAGCUGACUGAGAAAGACAUAUAUUCUUACACCCAACCAUUGAACUGAAGUUGGGGACCCCUAGAGUUGAAUUAGGGGAAGGAAAUGAAAUACACAAGGACUUAAGUUCAGUUUUUAACACUAAAAAAAAAAAUGUCUAUUUUCCUGUCUUAUGGCCAAUACAUAAUCAAUACCAUAAUGUAUUUGCAAUUCAAUACUGAUCCAUGCCCAAGAGCAGGUUCCAGACACUCAGUUUUCUCCUUUUUUUGAAGAAGCUGAAGGGGAGGGUGACCCCCACAGAAAGACCAACAGUCUCAACUAACCCAGAUCCCCAGGAGCUCCCAGAGACCAAGCCACCACCAGGCAGCAUACAUGGGCUGGUCCAAGGCCCCUGGCACAUAUAUAGCAGAAGACUGCCUGGUUUGGCCUCAGUGAGAGAAGAUGUGCCUAACUCUGCAGAGACUUAAGGCCCCAAGGAAGGGGGACGAAGGGAGUGGGGGGACACCCUCUCAGAGGCAAGGGGGAGGGGGAAUGGGAUGAAGAACUGUAGAGGGGAACAGGUGGAGGCAAUGGCUAGAAUGUAAUUAAAUAAAACAAUUAAAAAACAAACAAACCAGACAUUGCUAAGUGUUGCCUCCACUAUUCAGAGAGCAACUGUUAACUGUACCACUCAGAAACCACCUGAUUUCACCUGUCUGCUUACAAGCUGGGUGGGGGGAAGUGCCUGCCGGCUGCCUGUGCCUGCCCGAAAACCCAGCAACUAUGGAAGUUAAGACAAGAAGUACAAAACCAAGGUCUGCCUGAGCUACAGAGAAAGUUAAACCAGAGCAAGUAAGCCAGAGCAACUUAUUGAACCUAAAACAAAAAGGUAAAACAGAAAAUACACAAAGACCUGAGUUCGAUUUUUAGCACUGAAAACUGAUAUAGUCCUGUCUUAUGGCCAAUGCAUUAUCAAUACUGUAUUGUAUUUGCCAUUCAGUAAUGAUCCACACUCAAAACUAUAUUCUAAACACUUUCAGUUUUAAUAUCUUUUUUUAAAUCUUGUACUUGUAGAAGGUAUAAAGUGUAGCCUUGUCAUGUCAACAGGCCACAUGUUUUAUGGAAAGGCUGCUUCCUGGAACCUAAAAGUUCUUCUAAACCAUCACUGCCACAUAGUGAACAUUUUAUGGGCCAGUGAAAUAGUUUUAUGGGUGGAGGCACAGCCUGAGUUUAACCCUAGGACUGACAUGGAAGGAGAAAACCAAACCUAUAACCUGUCCUCAGACAUCCGUGUGUGUGUGUGUGUGUGUGUGUGUGUGUGUGUGUGUGUGUGUGUGUGUGCGCGCGCGCGCACGCGUGCGUUUGUCUGUGUAUACACAAAAUGUCAUAAAAGACUUAUUUUUCUUUCACAUGUAUUUAUAUUUUACUUGGUACAGAAUUUGGGCUGCGGAAAUUUAAUUUUAAUCAUACAAUGAAAUGUAACAACUUGCAGCAACACUGUUACAAGAGCAGAAGUGGCAGCCACUCCUCUCCAACUGGAUUCUAGAAAAGACUUUCCGUUCCAGGAAAAGGAACUCAAGGCUCUUACCUUAUCAGCGAGCAAAGAGCCUGACAUGCACAAAAGCAAGAGUAUGCCAGUGCAAGGUGACUGGUAAGGGACGAGGUCAAGGAGAGGGCAAGCAGCCAGACAUAAAGAGCCUCCUCUGUACUCCAAGGGACAAACAGCCUUUACUUGUUACUCCAAACAUUCUAUUUGCUUGAAAUGCCUAACACUGUAUUUCUCCUCUUAGUUUUUUUUCUUCCCAUGUAUCUGCCUCUUUUUACAUGCUACUUUUUCUGCCUGCUUAUUAAAUACCAAAAUUCACCAAAGCUUAGUCCUAAACCGUCACCUUCUUUGCAAUAUUGACACUCAAACUUAGGGCUCUGAGCAUAUAAUCCUACCACUGACUGAGCCUUGUCCCCAGUCCUAGACUUUCUUCUUUUCUCGCUCUGUCCCCACAUGAUCUUUUGCAGGCAACAAUCUCACUUAACUACCCACAGUUCACAAUCCUACCCUCUUUGUCAGGCCUUUUCUCUGCACUCCAGAUGCAUAUACCCACCCACUGAACCAAUCAUUUCCCUUAACAAAAGCUGAACUCAUUCCACAACCAAGGUCAGUUUGUCUUCAGGGUUCAAUCCUAAUAUCCUCUUUAAUAACACCAUGAACUGCUGUUCAUAGUGCCUUUUAAAAAUGAAAUUACACUCAUACAGUUCAGUGAUCAUUUAAUGCUCAUUUCUAUGAGAUUUAAAAUUUUGUGACAUAUAAAUUAAAAUUCAUUUUAAAAAGUUUUAAAUUUUAUCUUAUGUGUAUGGUUAUUUUGCCUGCAUGUAUGUCUGUGCACUAAGGGCAUGCAUGAUAUUGAGGAAGUCAGAAUAUGGCAUUGGAUCCCCUGCAACUGAUGCUAUGAAGGCAGUGGGAGCUGAACCUGGGUCCUCUGGAAGAGCAGCGAGUGCUCUUACACUGAGCCAUCUCUCCAGCCCCCACCAGUGAUUUUGUUUUAUACUUAAUACAUUUCACUACUCAUUGUUCAUUAUAGUAUCCCUCAGUCCCUGGUUAUUUGUCAAAUAAACAAGAUAACUUUCUAUGAAAUAUGCUAAUCUCUCUCAAGAGAAUUUUGAAAGAGCAUUGAUUUGGGAUGGUGGCAGGGGAAUAAGCUGGUAAAGCCAAUUACUAAAAACUUCUGCUCCUUUCCGAAAUAACUGUUCUCAUAGGCAUUAGAAGACAAUAGGGUUAAUGCUAGAAGUCAUGUCCCACAGGCUGUUUCCAACUAGUCUUUUCCCCACCAGCACGUAGCUGUCAUCUCCAAGACUGCUAUUUCUUGUUCCUCCCGUUUGCUCUUUUCCUUUACCCAAAGCCCCUCUCCUCAUGGUCCUGAUGGAUAACUGGGACAUCUCUGCCUUCCAUUUUAGGACAUAAGAAAGUGGUAAGACAGGGCUGGGGAGAUGGCAUAGUGUGCAAGCGUAAGGACCUGAGUUCUGAUCUCUAGCACUCAUAUAAAAGCUGGGUUUGGUAGUGCAAGUCUGUAAUCCAAGGACUUGAAUUGAGGGGAAGAGAAAGGGAUAGGAAAACAAGUAGAUCCCCUGAGCUGCCCAGCCUCACUAGCCAAUCAGUGAGAAGAGACCCUAUCACAAAAGGUAGAAAGCAAUAGUGGAAAACACCCAAAGCUGACUUCUGGCCUGCAGAAAGGCAUGUCUGUCUGUCUGUCUGUCUGUCUGUCUGUCUGUCUGUCUGUCUCUCUCUCUCUCUCUCUCACACACACACACACA
Molecule: non-coding RNA, 11176 nt
Organism: Rattus norvegicus (Norway rat)
Lineage: Eukaryota; Metazoa; Chordata; Mammalia; Rodentia; Muridae
Source: RefSeq, a predicted model, not a curated record